RNAcentral lists this ribosomal RNA (446 nucleotides) under uncultured bacterium. RNAcentral describes it as "bacterial SSU rRNA". It matches the Rfam family "Bacterial small subunit ribosomal RNA", at positions 217 to 662 of the family's 1533-position model. The record is from RNAcentral.
GGUAUGGGAUGAGCUUGCGUCCGAUUAGCUAGUUGGCGGGGCAACGGCCCACCAAGGCGACGAUCGGUAGCCGGCCUGAGAGGGUGAUCGGCCACAUUGGGACUGAGAUACGGCCCAGACUCCUACGGGAGGCAGCAGUAGGGAAUAUUGCACAAUGGGGGGAACCCUGAUGCAGCAACGCCACGUGUGGGAAGAAGCAUUUCGGUGUGUAAACCACUGUCGUGAGGGAAUAAGGCCUGUUCUAGGACAGGAUUGAAUGUACCUCGAAAGGAAGCACCGGCAAACUUCGUGCCAGCAGCCGCGGUAAUACGAGGGGUGCAAGCGUUGUUCGGAAUCACUGGGCGUAAAGGGAGCGUAGGCGGAGAUUCAAGCGGAUUGUACAAUCCCGGGGCCCAACCCCGGACCUGCAGUCCGAACUGGAUCUCUUGGAUAGUUCAGGGGCAGGC